Columba livia (rock pigeon) is the source of this 8268-nucleotide RNA transcript. It is a transcript of the gene named adhesion G protein-coupled receptor L3, with no coding region annotated. The transcript has 28 exons. Lineage: Eukaryota; Metazoa; Chordata; Aves; Columbiformes; Columbidae. The record is from RefSeq and is a predicted model, not a curated record.
AGCAAUGGGGAAAGCGGCCAAUCGGGAGGUGGGGGAACCUUUAUGGCGGGGUCGGCCGGGGCAGGUGGUGGUGGCGGCCGAGGAGGGAGAGCGGCGCGGCAGGAGCCGACGCGGAGCCGGCUGCUAGGUGGAGCCCGCGUCCACGCAACCCAGAUCCGGGCCCUCGCCGCUCCCCCGCCUCUCGGCUCGCCACCCGCCCGGCUCCGUGCGGCCGCCGCCGGGCAGGGCAGCAGCGCUGCCUCCUCCUUCUCGCCGGGCCCUGCGGUGGACGCGGGUGCUGCGGGUCCCGCCGUCCCGGAGCUGCUCCACCUCUACCUCGCGUGUGUGUGCGCGCGGUGCCGAGCCGAGCCGUGUCGGCGGGGCCGCCCGCCCGCGGCCAUGGCCCCCCCCCGCCCCCGCUAGGCACCGCGCGGGGCGCGCCCGCGGAGCCGCCCCCAGCUCCGCGCCCGCGGAGCCGCCCCCCGCCCGCUCGCGCCGGAGCUGGCGGUGUCCGCAGCGGGAGGAGGAGGAAAAAGGAACCGGGGUGCCGGCGGAUCCCGGGGGGCUGAAGACCACCCGCCCUCCCGCCUCUGCGCGGGCGCCUUUGUGUCCCCCAGCCCCGGCGAAGCGAGGGGCCGCGGGCAGGGGAGCGGAUGCGAAGAGCGGCUGGUGCUGGAGAAGGAAGAGGAAAAGGGGGAUGGUGGAAGAUUUCUCUCCCUUGUAUUUUUUUUUUUUUUGGUGGUCUCUUCGGCAGUGACGGUUCUUCCCCAGCAGCAGCGGCAGCAGCACCAGGCGAUGACUCUGCCGCAUAUGACUCGCCUGGCCGAGGGUGCCGGCUCCGGAGACAUCACCUUGGUCUGAAGUUGCCCACCUGGAGGAGGUAAAUCGGAGCGGGGCCUUGGUCCAGAAGGGGUCGGCGACAACGGGGGCGCGAGAGGAGGGAGCGAUCGCCUCCCCCAUCCCCACACACCCUCUGUUCUCUGGGAGGGAGCUUGUGUAGCAGAAGAACACGGCAGCAAAGGAGAGACUUUUUCUUUUUUCCUUCAUUUUUUUAUUAUUAUUAUUUUUUUUUUUAUUUCCUCGAAGGACGUUGCUUGCGUCUCACCCAUCUUCCCCUUUUCCACCUGGCUGGGGGGCUUUGAUACUGCAGCCAGGACUGCUUCCAAUCACACCUCCCCCCCGCCCCCCCCCUCCUUUUUCCUGGUUUUAAUGGCUGGAUUGUGGCAGCAGCUCCCUGCUGCAAGGUUGUUGAGGAACUGAUGGGGACUUGCAUCUCAGGAGACGGAGGUGACUAAAGAAAUGCUGAAUUCAGUACUCUGCAAAAAUCACGUGUGGAUUUUUAGCACUUGAAGAACAAGAAAAGGUCUCAGAUUCUGGAUACUGGCUGUGGGAUUUUUUUUAAUUAUUUUUAUUAUUAUUUUUGAUUGGCUUUCCCCCCCCUCUUUUUGGAUGUGAAUCGAAGGCCAACAGUUAAAGUGUCAGAACCAAGUGCAGGAGGACGCUCGCCUUGUUUUGUUGGAAGCCUUAUUUGCUGGGAUAUUUUCAAGGCUUCCUUCACAGUCAUGUGGUCAUCACAGCUGCUGUUCUUCACAAUGCUCUUAACACCAGUAGCCCAUGCCUGGAUUUCUUUUAAAACAGCUUUCAGCCGUGCCCCGGUGCCCAUGGCUGUGGUCCGACGGGAGCUGUCCUGUGAGAGUUACCCCAUCGAGCUGCGCUGCCCGGGAACAGAUGUCAUCAUGAUCGAAAGUGCCAACUACGGGAGGACCGACGACAAAAUCUGUGACUCUGAUCCUGCUCAGAUGGAGAAUAUCCGCUGUUAUCUGCCAGAUGCCUAUAAGAUUAUGACUCAAAGAUGCAGUAAUCGGACCCAGUGUGCAGUUGUUGCUGGCCCCGAUGUGUUUCCAGACCCUUGCCCUGGGACGUACAAGUACCUGGAAGUGCAGUACGAAUGUGUCCCUUACAAAGUGGAACAAAAAGUUUUUCUUUGCCCUGGAUUGCUGAAAGGAGUAUACCAGAGCGAACAUUUAUUCGAAUCAGACCACCAGUCGGGUGCCUGGUGCAAGGACCCUCUGCAGGCGUCUGACAAGAUCUACUACAUGCCCUGGACACCGUACCGGACAGACACGUUGACAGAAUACUCCUCCAAGGAUGACUUCAUCGCCGGGAGGCCAACUACCACCUACAAACUCCCACAUCGGGUGGACGGCACAGGCUUUGUGGUGUACGAUGGGGCAUUGUUCUUCAACAAGGAGCGCACUAGGAACAUAGUCAAGUUUGACUUGCGGACCAGGAUAAAGAGCGGGGAGGCCAUCAUCGCGAAUGCAAACUACCACGACACUUCUCCAUACCGCUGGGGAGGCAAAUCUGAUAUUGACCUGGCUGUGGAUGAGAAUGGGCUGUGGGUAAUCUAUGCAACAGAACAAAAUAAUGGCAAAAUAGUCAUUAGCCAAUUAAACCCUUACACAUUAAGGAUUGAAGGGACAUGGGAUACCGCCUAUGACAAGAGGUCGGCUUCGAACGCCUUCAUGAUCUGUGGGAUUUUAUAUGUGGUGAAGUCUGUGUAUGAAGAUGAUGACAACGAAGCCACAGGGAAUAAAAUAGACUAUAUCUAUAAUACUGACCAAAGCAAAGAUAGCAUGGUGGAUGUGCCCUUUCCAAACUCCUACCAGUACAUUGCUGCUGUGGAUUAUAAUCCUCGGGACAACCUCCUGUACGUAUGGAACAACUAUCACGUUGUGAAGUAUUCCUUGGACUUUGGACCACUGGACAGCAGAGCAGGGCAGGCUCACCACGGACAGGUUUCCUACAUGGCCCCACCGAUCCACCUCGAUUCAGACCUGGAGAGACCACCAUCCAAGGGAGUAUUGACAUCGGGGGCAUUGGCCCCGGGGAGCACCCCCAGCAGUGCCAUGCCACGGGUGACCACCAGCAGCACUGGCCAUCCCACCACCACCUCAGCUUUGGGCAGGAGGAACAGGAGCACCAGCACACCAUCCCCCAUGGCUGACAUCCCUGAGGAAGUGACCACGCACCUCCUGCCCGCCUCGUCCCAGCUGCCGCCGGCCGGUGCGGAGAGCUGCAACUCUGUGGAAGCUCGGGAGAUUCUGUGGUCUCGGACCCGGCAGGGCCAAGUGGCGAAGCAGCCAUGUCCCAUGGGCUCCAUAGGUGUGGCAACUUUCCGGUGUCUUGUGCCAGAUGGGAUCUGGGAGCCCCAAGGACCUGAUCUCAGCAAUUGCUCUUCUCCCUGGAUCAACCACAUCACUCAGAAGAUGAGGUCAGGGGAGAUGGCUGCCAACAUUGCCCGGGAGCUUGCAGAGCACACGAAAAACCACAUGUACGCUGGAGAUAUCACAUAUUCGGUGUCUGCCAUGGUCCAGCUGGUCAACUUACUCGAUGUGCAGCUCCGAAACCUAACGCCAGGUGGGAAGGACAGCGCUGCCCGCAGCUUAAAUAAGCUUCAGAAAAGGGAGCGCUCUUGCAGGGCCUAUGUCCAGGCCAUGGUGGAGACGGUGAACAACCUCCUGCAGCCGCAGGCUCUGAAUGCCUGGCGGGACCUGAACGCAAGCGAACAGCAACGUGCAGCCACCAAAUUACUGGACACAGUGGAGGACAGUGCCUUCGUGCUGGCUGAUAACCUGCUGAAGACUGACAUUGUCCGGGAAAAUACUGACAACAUCCAGCUGGAAGUUGCGAGACUGAGCACAGAUGGGAACCUGGAGGAUCUGAAGUUUCCCCAGAAUAUGGGCCACGGGAGCUCCAUUCAGCUAUCUGCAAACACCUUGAAACAAAAUGGUCGAAAUGGUGAAAUCAGGGUGGCAUUCGUGUUGUACAACAACCUGGGCACCUAUCUCUCCACCGAGAAUGCCAGCAUGAAGUUGGGAACAGAAGCAAUGUCAACUAAUCACUCUGUCAUUGUCAACUCUCCGGUCAUCACGGCAGCAAUAAACAAAGAAUUCAGCAAUAAGGUUUACCUGGCUGAUCCUGUGGUCUUUACAGUCAAGCACAUCAAGCAGUCAGAAGAAAAUUUCAAUCCCAACUGUUCAUUCUGGAGCUAUACAAAGCGUACAAUGACGGGGUAUUGGUCCACCCAGGGCUGCCGCCUCCUGACAACAAACAAGACGCACACCACAUGCUCCUGCAAUCACCUCACCAACUUUGCUGUCCUGAUGGCACACGUGGAAGUUAAGCACAGUGAUGCAGUCCAUGACCUGCUCCUGGACUUUAUCACAUGGGUUGGCAUCCUGCUCUCCCUGGUCUGCCUCCUGAUCUGCAUCUUCACCUUCUGCUUCUUCCGGGGGCUGCAGAGCGACCGCAACACCAUCCACAAGAACUUGUGCAUCAGCCUCUUCGUAGCUGAACUCCUCUUCCUCAUCGGCAUCAACAGAACCGACCAGCCGAUUGCCUGUGCUGUCUUUGCUGCCCUCCUGCACUUCUUCUUCCUGGCGGCUUUCACCUGGAUGUUCCUGGAGGGCGUGCAGCUCUACAUCAUGCUGGUGGAAGUUUUCGAGAGUGAACACUCCCGGAGGAAAUAUUUCUAUUUGGUUGGCUACGGCAUGCCGGCGCUGAUCGUGGCCGUGUCGGCGGCGGUGGAUUACCGGAGCUACGGCACAGAAAAAGUAUGUUGGCUCCGACUUGACACCUACUUCAUUUGGAGCUUUAUAGGACCCGCGACCUUGAUAAUUAUGCUGAAUGUCAUCUUUCUGGGGAUCGCACUCUAUAAAAUGUUCCAUCAUACUGCCAUACUGAAACCCGAAUCUGGAUGUCUUGACAAUAUCAACUAUGAGGAUAACAGACCCUUCAUCAAGUCCUGGGUUAUAGGUGCAAUAGCCCUACUCUGCCUAUUAGGACUGACCUGGGCAUUCGGACUCAUGUAUAUUAAUGAAAGCACAGUCAUCAUGGCCUAUCUCUUCACCAUAUUUAAUUCUCUGCAGGGAAUGUUUAUAUUCAUUUUCCAUUGUGUCCUCCAGAAAAAGGUACGUAAAGAGUACGGAAAAUGCCUGCGCACGCAUUGCUGUAGUGGGAAAAGUACAGAGAGCUCUAUUGGCUCAGGAAAAACCUCGGGGUCACGGACUCCUGGAAGAUAUUCCACAGGCUCACAGAGCCGGAUUCGUAGGAUGUGGAAUGACACAGUUCGAAAGCAGUCCGAGUCUUCCUUUAUUACCGGAGAUAUAAACAGUUCAGCUUCACUCAACAGAGGAGGCAGCUUUAUUUCCUUAUUUCCAAAUACAGCAGCUCAUGUUGCUUGCCAUCAGCAUAGCCAAAGAUAUCAGGAGCCAUGGCUAAUCAUCUUAUAACCAAUGCUCUGCUUCGUCCUCAUGGCACUAACAACCCUUAUAAUACAUUGCUCGGGGAAUCAGCGGUCUAUAACAACCCUUCCGUCAGCAUGUACAACGCACAAGAAAGCAGCAGGACGCCCAAGCAGGAGCCGGUCUUCAGGAGAGUCACCAUGGAAGACAGUGUCAUCUAGUGCUGGCAAGCCGGCCACAGGGUGAGCCCACCUCAGCUCCACUGUGUCUCAGUCUACCCAUUCCUCCCCAGCAUCGUGCAAUGGGAGAGGCCGGAGAAACUCAGCCUCAGCCGAAAUCAUCAGCAAACCCAAGGAAAAAACAGCCUUACUGAUCUUCCCACUGCCUGGCAGCGCCUGGGGAAGUGCGCUCGCCGCCUGGUCAGUCGCUUUUUUGUUUGCCAAGACAAGCAGAACGGGUGGAAAAAACAGUCUUUUUUAACGACAAAGAAGUAUUGUCUGCUCCAAAUGUUGGCUUUGCAACUUGAAAAUACUUUAAAGACGGCUGAGUGUGCUCAACCCCACCUUUCCGUGCUCGCAAGCUGGGCUGUGUAAAGGCAAAACCACUGCGUCCAGGUCCAUAUUGUAAAUACAGACGUGGCUGUGCAGAGAGAUGUCAAGGGAAUGAAAACACGGAGAAAUAAACCAUCCUUAUGCCAGAAGCAGCUGAACUUGCCAUCAGAGUACUGUCGAGCAAAGCUUCUGAGCAGAGACCAGCAGCAGCUCCGCUCGGCAAAAGCAUCCAGGGGAAAGCUGCCCAGAUUUUAUUGUGUAAAUAGAGAUAUUUUUUGGAGAAAAAAAAAAGAGCCUUAUUAACUUGAAGAUAGCGUUUCUCAAUCAGCUCAGCUGGGGAUAUGGGAAACCAUGAUGUCUGCCCACCGGAGGCUGGCGUGGGGUCUCGUAGCCGAAAGAUGACGGACACAUCUGGCAGAGAAUUCAGCAGAUGUUGUCUCCUUCGUUCCUGUAAAUGGGGUGGACUCACUCGGCCCAUGGUCUCCACUGGUGUAAAUAACUCAGCUACAAACUUGGGCUGUUCAGUGUAGGGGGCGGCGGGGGGGAUGGAAUGGCCAGAAAUCACCAAUGCGGGACACAAACCCCAUGUAAGUGCAGUUCCCCUGAGGCUUUUAACAUUCAUUAAAAGAAAAAAAAAUAAACUCUGAAGACUUCUUAGUGGUGUUGGGCCAACUGUUUGAUGAAGGGUUUCAGUGUGCAAACACAUGGAAGACCAUGUCCAUGUAGCUGUGUCCAUGAGAGGUGAAGAGAGGAUAUACAUCUGUGUUGUGCUCACCUGUAUACACCUAAUCACUGGAGGGAAAUUUGGGAAAAAAAAAAAAGGAAUUAUGAAAAAAGUCUUGGGAAGAAAAAGCUAUUUCUGAAAAUGACCCAGAAUAGCUUUCUCUAGACAUAGAAGUCUCCUUUCAGCCUGGCAUUUUAGAAUCAUUUUGGUUGGAAGAGACUCUCAGGAUCAUCGAGUCCAACCAUAACCUAAAUGUGGCACUAAACCAUGUCCCUAAGAGCCUUAUCUAUCCAUCUUUUAAACACCCCCAAGGAUGGUGACUCCACUACUGCCCUGGGCUGCCUGUUCCAAUGCUUUACAACCUUUUCCAUGAAGAAAUUUUUCCUUAUAUCCAAUCUUUUGCAAGGAAGAAGGGCCACGGUGGAAGUGUGCCCUCCCCAUUAAAAAGCCACAUAGCAUAAACCAAUUAUUGCACAAAUUUAGCAUAAUUCUGGGAGCAAAGCCUCAAAACCUUUGCAAAGAAAUGCCAGUGGCUGCAAAAGCUGCAAUUGCAGGAAAGCAGAAAUCCCCUGUUUUUUCACUAGGUAACAGGAAAGCAGAAAUCUCCUGGGUUGGGGUCAUUUGGGUUUUUUUCAUUAGAGCCCUCAAUAUUAGUUUCAUUCUCCAGAUAACCCCAUCAUCCCACACUCUAAACCUUUGCCGUUAUGUCUAGAAGAGUUAUUCUUGGAGGCAUUUAUGACAACCUUCACUCUCUAUCUCCCUCUCUCUCUCUCUCUCUGCAAACCUGAAGAUGCUGAUACCUGGUAACUAAUGAUGAAGCAGACUGACCCCAAAUCCUAAUAAAAAUGAUGAAUCCCGCUGUACUGAUAGCACACAGCUCACCAAGCUGAGCCAGCAAGGAGGGUGAGGCAGAUACUCACCGAACCCCCCAGGACAUUUAAUUUUGAUUUAAUCUGGCCCCAAGUCACUAGUGAUUGACGUUUCACCUCCUUUCCAUAUCUUAACUGGACUUCCUUACAUGCAAUGAAACUGAAUACCUUGUAAUUACUGUACUCCUGGUGAUUAAGCGGUAUGAAAAGCUAUCAUGGAGAGCAUUAAUAAAAUGUACAUGAUGAAAAAAAAAGAACCCAUCAUCAUCUGAAAUUAAUAACACACCAGAUUUUUCCUCAUCCGCACCUGCCCAUUGCAGGCCUGCCCUUUUCUAUUGAAAAUGACUUACUCAAGCAACUUUUAUAACUGUAUUGGGCAUGAAGUUCUGUCCUGUAGGUUUGCAUCCCUGUUAGAUGUACCGCACGAGGACUUGUUUCUCUGUUAAGUCUUUCAGGCAUUGAUUUUAGUGACAUUUCUGUCACGCCGGUGUGACUAAAAUGAACUGAUGGUUUCAUGCUUAUGGAUUAGUUUGCCUAAGACUUUGAGGCCAGGUAGCUUUAUCAUGCACUGUAACGCCAGAAUUCAUCACUGUAUUAUUUACAAGAGACUGAACUGGCUGCAUCUCAAUAACUGAAGAGAUCUUCACUGUUUUAUUUAUGUAUAAAUGUUUACUUAAUCAGCCACCAAUUUUGUUUAGCGGAAUUUGUUAGCAAAUGGAAAUUGUAAACACUAACAUGAGUUCUAUUUUAAAAUUUAUAGGCUUUCAUCUAUAGCAAAAUCCAAAAUUUCCAAAGUGUCUUCAUCUCCUGGCAAUCAAGAAGCUCUCUUGUAUGUGCUUUCUGGUAAUUGCAAUUAUUUGCUGCAAUACUUCACAUUAAAAAAAAAAAUACAACCCUAA